RNAcentral lists this ribosomal RNA (433 nucleotides) under uncultured bacterium. RNAcentral describes it as "partial 16S ribosomal RNA". It matches the Rfam family "Bacterial small subunit ribosomal RNA", at positions 29 to 507 of the family's 1533-position model. The record is from RNAcentral.
AACGAACGCUGGCGGCAGGCCUAGCACAUGCAAGUCGAGCGCGCCCUUCGGGGUGAGCGGCGGACGGGUGAGUAACGCGUGGGAACGUGCCCUUUUCUACGGAAUAGCCUCGGGAAACUGAGAGUAAUACCGUAUACGCCCUUUGGGGGAAAGAUUUAUCGGAAAAGGAUCGGCCCGCGUUGGAUUAGGUAGUUGGUGGGGUAAUGGCCUACCAAGCCGACGAUCCAUAGCUGGUUUGAGAGGAUGAUCAGCCACACUGGGACUGAGACACGGCCCAGACUCCUACGGGAGGCAGCAGUGGGGAAUCUUAGACAAUGGGGGCAACCCUGAUCUAGCCAUGCCGCGUGAGUGAUGAAGGCCUUAGGGUUGUAAAGCUCUUUCAGCUGGGAAGAUAAUGACGGUACCAGCAGAAGAAGCCCCGGCUAACUCCGUG